Molecule: RNA transcript, 2502 nt
Organism: Liolophura sinensis
Lineage: Eukaryota; Metazoa; Mollusca; Polyplacophora; Chitonida; Chitonidae
Exons: 7
Source: RefSeq, a predicted model, not a curated record
UGUUUGUUUAUGGCUUUGCAAUGUGGUGCAAUCUUCAAGUCGUCACCAUGCGGAAAUUGAUAAAUAUAUCAGGUACUAUGUCACCAUGAUGUGAUAUACACGCCUAAAAAAGCCUUCUAAGCGAGUUUAGAGCUCUGUACUGUGGUAAAACCAUGGACAUACACUUGUACGCUUACAGCUAGGCUUCCAUCUUUCAGGCAUACAGGUGUUGUUGUUAAAAGGAGGGACCGAUCGCUGUGACAGAAAUCAUGGAGAACUGUUUGAAGCAUGGAAGUCGCUUUAGAUGUCGACUUGAGUUUGUCCUCAAUCAGCUGAGGAGAGCCGGGAAAUUGACACACUCUCAGUCAGCCAGGAUCGGCGGGAUUCUGUGUACCUGUCAAAACAAAGACCAGUCAGCGCAAGAUUGUGACUUCAUUGACCAUGAAUUCUCCAAGUCAUACACUCAAGUCCAAAAAUUGUUGGAUCCUGGACAAGGCCGACUGGACAAAGAAAAUAUUUUUUCUAGUCAUUCUGCGAAAGUCUUACUGGAUAGUUUUAAGUCCCUUGAAAUUGUGAAUCAAGAUGGAUUGAAAAGACUGGUUGUCAUGCUGGCAAAGAUAGUCAACUCAGAGUUUGAUCAGACAUAUCCCACAUGUCGUACAAAUUCGAAAAAUGACAAGCUGACAACUGUCCUGGCGCUAAACCUUCCAUGGGACUACAUUGGUUUUUUAAUUGGAAAAUGUGGACAGGGUUUUCAGGAAAUCAGGAAGAAAACAGAGUGUAGCAUAAAGCUACAGGGUCGUGAAAUGAUUUCUGAUGCUCAGCACAUAAUGAUUCGAAUUGAAAGUGGUUCUGUGGCAAAUUUAGAUAUGGCCAGAACCUUACUGAGGGAAAGAGCAAGGAAAGUCACAGAAAAACGAAAAAUACAUGAGCAACGAGUGAGAGACUACGAUGAUUUAAGGAAUAAAAAGCGCUUGUCCUCUUUACUGGCUCGUGAAAAAAGGAAGAACCAUGAGCAGUCUCAGGCGAAGGGAGGUAAUUCAUGGCUGACCAAAAUAUUUAUCAUCCCUAAGGUGGAAAUACAGAAAAUGAACAUAUUUGCAACUAUGAAAAUGUACUAGUAUGUUUCCAGGAUAUCAAGAAUCUGAACAAGGCUGAAUAUCAUAGGAAAAGAACUCAGCAGCAUAAAAUGCACAACUCGGGGACAAAGAUAAAAGGACAUCGAGCGUUGGCUGAAGGUAGCAGGUGCCUUAACUGCCUGGGGACAUUUGCUGCCACAGAGAUGAAGGAAGGAGCCUGCAAGUUUCAUCCUGGCUUUAUUGUUGAUGAAGAGUGGAGUUGUUGUGGGAAGAGCUCUACUGACCACCAUCCAUCCCAUAAUGAUCACAAGAUGACUGGAUGUUCCAAUUCAGUCCAUAACUAUCGGCCCACACAAAAACGUCACGGCAAGAGUAGCCUGAACUCGCCGAAGGAGUCGAAAUCGUCUCUUCUACAGGAUGCUACGGAACUUCUGCAAGACUUCAAACUCUAAGGAUGUAAGAUGUGAAAACAAUACAUGAUAAGUGCUGAUUUUUAAAGAGCGCGCUCAGAUGUGCAGGGCCAUCGCAGAGCUCGGAUCUCCUGCCAGCCUGCUCGUGCUGGCUUGCGUUUUAGUGCUUAUAUCUGUUGUAUGUUUGUAUCAAAACUGUGUUUAUGAUGUCCCACCCUGCCAUAAUACAGGGUAUGUGGGUAGAUCAGUAGCUUGUAUGUAUGGUAUGAGAGGCUCCUAGGUCCAGCUCAUGCAUGCCGGCUUUCUGUCCGGCCAUACAUGGGAAGGUUUGCGAGCUACUUGCAGAUGGUCGUGUGUUCCUCCGGGCUCUGCUCGGUUUCCACCCACUUUAAUGCUGGCCACCGUCGUAUAAGUGAAAUAUUCUUGAGUAUGGCGUAAAACACCAAUCAAAUAAAUAAAUAGAUAAAUAAAAUGAAUGUAUGGCUUGGGCAAAACUACGAUCCAGGACACGAGUGCUGCAGAAAGUUGAGCGGAAAGGAUUGGCUAGGUCUAACCUAGUUUAUUAGCCCAAACAGACGUGCCACAAGAAGGUUAUGUAUGUUGAGAUCAUCAGUAGGUUAAUCUAUUUAUUAAAUUUUAGUACUCAUUGAUAUGAACAACAACAUCACCCCCAGCAACGCCAUAUGUCUUCCGAGUGUAUAGACUGUAAAGGGAUGUGGAAAAGUUGUUCUCGAGGUUGGCGUAGCCUACUUCUGCCGUCGAUGAGACUUUUGUAGCGCAUGUGUCAGUAUAUAGAGAGCUGUAGCCCCUGUAUAUUAUCUGUUUUAUACCACACUCAUUGGUGUCCAUGUCAUGACGCCAUAUCGCGAGCAUAGGGUCACAUUUUGGUAUAUAUCCGGGGCUGUUUGUACUGUUACUGGCGGUUGUGACCUUUCUGUAACCCGCCCACACUAUAGUAUUAUUAAUAUAAAGCUCAACGUAUCACGAACACAUUGAUUUUCCUUUGUAUUUAUGUAGGAAAUUUGUCAAUUUCA